AUUCAGCUAGUGACGAGUCCCAAAUAGGACGAAACACGCGUAUUGGAU
RNAcentral lists this non-coding RNA (48 nucleotides) under Schistosoma mansoni. The record is from RNAcentral. Lineage: Eukaryota; Metazoa; Platyhelminthes; Trematoda; Strigeidida; Schistosomatidae.